GUAUCACUACCGUUCAUCGUUUUGCCGAAGCACAAGAGAUUGAAUGAACAUGGAGGGAGCAAAGAGAACUCCACUGAGCGCGAGAAAGAAACACAAGAGGAAAAGCAAGAGACUUGUCAGGAGUAUCGUCACCUACCUCAAGUCCGAUGCAUACUUGUACGCUCCUCUGUUUUCCGAUUUGUCACCGCUCCCGCCGCAGAUACAUACGCCUCCACCGUCUAACUCCGAAUCUUCUAAGGCGGAAGACUUGCCUGUUGCAGACUGUGAAGCAGGUACAUCGAAAAUCACGAACUUGGUUACGAUGGAAGUAUCAACCAUGAGGGAAGAUAACAGGAAUCUCAGGUCAGACACUGCAGACCAUGCAUUGCAUAACGGAAGGAUCAGCUCUUCGAAACGAUCACUUGUCAUCUUAGACGGACAACGAACUGGAGUAAGCCGUUGAAACAGAUCUGUCACCACUUUUUUUUGUCUAUUCCAAAGGAAAAGACGGUGAAGCCAGAUCCAAGGGGAGUUCCGAUCAAGUGAGGUUAAUGUGUAGACAUAAUAGCCAAUGUAAUCAUUGUAAAAUACAAAUUUAAUUAAUUAGAUGCGAUAGUUACAAGAGCUCUUGGAGAGGAGAAGAAGAAUAGGGUUUAUCGUGUGAUUGUAAAGCGUUUCUUGUUGAUAAGCUUUUUAGGAAGUGAUGUAUGAAUGAGGAUGACAAAGAUGUGUCCUGUCUGAACAUAUUGCCAUGUUACCCUGUCUAGUCUUUCAUAAGUAGUUGUAUGUCAAGAAA
RNA transcript from Brassica oleracea var. oleracea, 775 nucleotides. RefSeq lists it as uncharacterized. Lineage: Eukaryota; Viridiplantae; Streptophyta; Magnoliopsida; Brassicales; Brassicaceae. The transcript has 3 exons. The record is from RefSeq and is a predicted model, not a curated record.